UACGGGGGGGGUAAGCGUUGUUCGGAAUUACUGGGCGUAAAGGGCUCGUAGGCGGCCAACUAAGUCAGACGUGAAAUCCCUCAGCUUAACUGGGGAACUGCGUCUGAUACUGGAUGGCUUGGAUUCGGGAGAGGAAUGCGGAAUUCCAGGUGUAGCGGUGAAAUGUGUAGAGAUCGGGAGGAACACCGGUGGCGAAGGCGGGUCUCUGGGCAUCUCCUGACGCUGAGGCGCGAAAGCGUGGGGAGCAAGCGGG
RNAcentral lists this ribosomal RNA (253 nucleotides) under uncultured bacterium. RNAcentral describes it as "partial 16S ribosomal RNA". It matches the Rfam family "Bacterial small subunit ribosomal RNA", at positions 524 to 776 of the family's 1533-position model. The record is from RNAcentral.